Molecule: ribosomal RNA, 295 nt
Filed under: uncultured bacterium
Lineage: Bacteria
Description: partial 16S ribosomal RNA
Rfam family: Bacterial small subunit ribosomal RNA
Source: RNAcentral
AUAUACCUACGGGAGGCAGCAGUAGGGAAUCUUCCACAAUGGGCGAAAGCCUGAUGGAGCAACGCCGCGUGGGUGAAGAAGGUCUUCGGAUCGUAAAACCCUGUUGUUAGAGAAGAAAGUGCGUGAGAGUAACUGUUCACGUCUCGACGGUAUCUAACCAGAGAGCCACGGCUAACUACGUGCCAGCAGCCGCGGUAAUACGUAGGUGGCAAGCGUUAUCCGGAUUUAUUGGGCGUAAAGAGAACGCAGGCGGUCUUUUAAGUCUGAUGGGAAAGCCUUCGGCUUAACCGGGGUA